Molecule: ribosomal RNA, 950 nt
Filed under: Chloroflexota bacterium
Lineage: Bacteria; Bacillati; Chloroflexota
Description: bacterial SSU rRNA
Rfam family: Bacterial small subunit ribosomal RNA
Source: RNAcentral
GGAGAGUUUGAUUCUGGCUCAGGACAAACGCUGGCGGCGUGCAUAAAACAUGCAAGUCGAACGGGCCAAUCCCCGCAAGGGGAAAGGCUAGUGGCGAACGGCUGAGUAACACGUAGGUGACCUGCCCAGAAGUGGGGGAUAACGAAUCGAAAGAUUCGCUAAUACCGCAUGUGACCACUCAUUCAUUUGAGUGCUCAAAGUCGCAAGACGCUUUUGGAGGGGCCUGCGGCGGAUUAGCUAGAUGGCGAGGUAACGGCUCACCAUGGCGUCGAUCCGUAGCUGGUCUGAGAGGAUGACCAGCCAGACUGGGACUGAGACACGGCCCAGACUCCUACGGGAGGCAGCAGUUAGGAAUUUUGCGCAAUGGGGGAAACCCUGACGCAGCCACGCCGCGUGCGGGAUGAAGGCCUUCGGGUCGUAAACCGCUUUUCUCGAGGAAGAAACUCUGACGGUACUCGAGGAAUAAGCAACGGCUAACUACGUGCCAGCAGCCGCGGUAAUACGUAGGUUGCGAGCGUUGUCCGGAUUUACUGGGCGUAAAGCGCGCGCAGGCGGUUCCGAAAGUCGAAUGUGAAAGCUCCUGGCCCAACUGGGAGAGGCCGUUCGAAACUUCGGAACUUGAAGGCGGGAGAGGCAGAUGGAAUUUCCGGUGUAGCGGUAAAAUGCGUAGAUACCGGAAGGAACACCAGUGGCGAAAGCGAUCUGCUGGCCCGCCCUUGACGCUCAGGCGCGAAAGCUGGGGGAGCGACCGGGAUUAGAUACCCCGUUAGUCCCAGCCGUAAACAAUGGGCACUAGGUGUUGUCGGUAUCGACCCCGGCAGUGCCGUAGCUAACGCAUUAAGUGCCCCGCCUGGGGAGUACGACCGCAAGGUUAAAACUCAAAGAAAUUGACGGGGGCCCGCACAAGCAGCGGAGCGUGCGGUUCAAUUCGAUGGUACGCGAAGAACCUU